CGCUCCCGCCCAGGAGGCUGCGCAUUGGCUGCGGGGAAAAUCAAUUAUCAAAUAAUCGAUCAGCAGGGAGCUUCGAUCUGCCGGGAAUGUAAACUGCCAGUACCGAUUCCCGCCCUGACGGUGGCCAAAAGGCUGACUCCCUCAAAGCGACCGGCCUGAGCUCCCAUCCCAUGGUCCCCACCCCCAUCCCACCCUGCCAGCUGUGGAGCAAACCCUCGCCCCAGAGGGGAGAUAGUUGGUGGGAAGAGUUUUGAGAAAGAUUAGGGGGCCCCCUUCACUGGGAGUUUGUUUGGAAAAGGUUGAGAGCUCUCAAAUGUAUUGAAGCCAACUCUUAGGCGCCAAGUAAGAGAAUUUGCAUCCGUCCGCGAAGUAGGACUCAAGUUUCUUCUGAGUGGGCUUCUGAGGAGCAGGGGACCUGGGCGAUCUUCAAAACGUAGAGCUGCAGUAUUGCUCCACCGAGCGCUGGUAGCCUCCCUAGGCGACACCUAUGGCUUCUUCUAGCGCUCCGCAGGAGCUAGCGCCGGGGUGGUUCACCCCAGCCGUGGAGCCUUCGUGGAAAGCUGAGCAGAUGAGCCUUCCCAGCCUACUGCACACGUCCCCGCCCCCAACCUGAACUUGCUCCUUCUGUGCCUGAAGGGUCGGCACACAUUCACCCAAAACCUUCAGAUGAGCUUUGAGUUGAAUGAGCUCAACUGUUACAAAAGAAAAAUCUCCAGAGUCCCUUAGUACUUACCUGUCUCUUCUUUCUUAAUUUCUAGUUUCUGUCUUCAAUACUCAAAUUUUAAGAUAUUUUACUUUUAUCCACCACGUACUUGUAUACUGUUUUCUAACACAGUUACCCUGAUACAUCUCUUGGGAAGUUAAGGCAGGCCUGAGAGUCAAAGCCAAGGGGGGGCUUUGGGGAAGCCAGGUGAAUUACCAGAGCCAACGCCUAACUCUGAGCCCGCCCCCCCCUUCCCCUCGCAGUUUGAACUUGAAAGCAGCUUUUCAGGCCAAGAUGGAACCUUCUGAACUCAGGAAAGCGAUUUUUAAUUUUUGCGAAGCCGAGCUGGCUAGGCCAGGCAGCGCACUUCUUUUCCGAUUAUGGGGAGGGCUGCGCUGGGCCGUCAGCAGUGAGCUCUUCCCCAGCUCCUGAGGGCUGUGGCCCACACCUGAGCGCCUUCCGACAGCUACUCCCGGGGGUGGGAGCGCUGUCUCCCCAGCAGGCCUGCCAGGCAUCAGCGCGGCUUGGGCGGGGGGGGCGGGAGGGGGUCCAACCAGACACCAACACAGGCUCCUCUACGUUUAUGGUCCUUAAAUGAACUGCGAGGAAGGUUAUAAGUGAAAGAAGGAAGGUUCAGUCCCUACAACAAAAGCUAACAAGCAGAAAAUUCUUCCAGGAACGGAUCACAAGUGAGCACAGCUCUGUCCUGUAUUCUAAGCUAGUAAUGGAGGUACAGUACGGGAGCUGAAGAGGUCUAGCAGACGUGCUCCAGUCAUCAACUGCAAACAUUUACCUUUGAAGCAACUGGAUGAGCCAGAUUGGUUAUGGUUUGCAUCCAUGUUCGACUUGAUAAAGGGGCAUAAUUUGUGAAAAGCCUUCAGGCAAAAAUCGUACUGAUUAUUCAAAACUAAAUAUUUUAACAUUUCAUUGAGUUAGCUAAUGAAUAAGAAAAACAUCGAAGGCUUCCUGCAGCUCAGAAAGAAUUCUAGUGGCGUGGAAAGCACAAGGAGCAAAGAACAAGAAACUGAAGGACUCCUGCUGAGCAGUUAUUCGCUUGUGAAUAUCUGAAAAUGUAUUCUUCUGUGCGUUAUUUAAAAAUGAAAAAUAAACAUCAUCUUUCCUUGUCUUUUGUUUUUAAAUGAACGUCUGAUAGCUUGCUAAAAAAUUUUUUUCUGAGUAAUUUAUGCGAGAAAGGGCCAAUUCGAAAACGUGUAACUAAUGGGAGAAGUCCACGUAUAAGCCGCAAACAAAUCGGUUUGAAGCCGAGCCCACAGCCCUGCGAGGCGCCACUGCUUCCAAGCUCAGGGAGGAUAACUUCAUCUACCGGCAGUU
Heterocephalus glaber (naked mole-rat) is the source of this 2035-nucleotide long non-coding RNA. NCBI's taxonomy places the organism in Eukaryota, Metazoa, Chordata, Mammalia, Rodentia, Bathyergidae. The record is from Ensembl.